AUAGUUUGAUUCUGGCUCAGAACGAACGCUGGCGGCGUGCUUAACACAUGCAAGUCGAACGAGAAAGUUUCCUUCGGGAAACGAGUAGAGUGGCGCACGGGUGAGUAACGCGUAGGUAAUCUACCCUUAUAUUUGGGAUAACAUUGGGAAACUGGUGCUAAUACCGAAUGGUCUUCAUUUCUGUUAGGGAGAUGGAGUAAAGGUGGCCUCUUCAUGAAAGCUACCGUGUAGGGAUGAGCCUGCGUACCAUUAGCUAGUAGGUGGGGUAACGGCCCACCUAGGCUACGAUGGUUAGCGGGUCUGAGAGGAUGAUCCGCCACACUGGAACUGGAACACGGACCAGACUCCUACGGGAGGCAGCAGUGAGGAAUAUUGCGCAAUGGGGGAAGCCCUGACGCAGCGACGCCGCGUGAGUGAGGAAGGUUUUCGGAUCGUAAAGCUCUGUCAGAAGGGAAGAAGUGUUACAUGGUUAAUACCCAUGUAAUUUGACGGUACCUUCAGAGGAAGCACCGGCUAACUCCGUGCCAGCAGCCGCGGUAAUACGGAGGGUGCAAGCGUUGUUCGGAAUUACUGGGCGUAAAGGGCGCGUAGGCGGCCCGAUAAGUCAGGUGUGAAAGUCCACGGCUCAACCGUGGAAGUGCAUUUGAAACUGUCGGGCUUGAGUAUCGGAGGGGAGUGUGGAAUUCCCGGUGUAGAGGUGAAAUUCGUAGAGAUCGGGAGGAACACCGGUGGCGAAGGCGACAUUCUGGACGAA
This 754-nucleotide ribosomal RNA is filed under the name uncultured delta proteobacterium. RNAcentral's name for it is "bacterial SSU rRNA". It matches the Rfam family "Bacterial small subunit ribosomal RNA", at positions 8 to 737 of the family's 1533-position model. The record is from RNAcentral. Lineage: Bacteria; Deltaproteobacteria.